CUGCUGGGGUGGUGGCGGUUCCCUGGAACCAGGCAUCGCUUGGCCUGGAGGGGCCUGUGCUGCAAAGUUCUGAGUUCCGGAGCUGGGAGGGACUGCCACGUGAUGCAGCGGGGGAGAGCAGGGACUUUCCCUGUCCCAGGACAGUCCUAGGACGUCUCUCAUAUUCCCUGGCACUUCUGCUCUGACUGGGAUGCCGAAUUCCUGGGGUACAUCCACAGUGACCCGACCGGUCUCCGUAAUCAGGCACAUCUCCUCUGGCCUGUGAUGUCCUGUGAUACCCAAGGUGUGUCUAACGUGACCUUGGAUGUCUCCCUUAUUCCCAGGUGUGUCUGAACUGGCCUGGGAGCUCCCCAAUUCACCACAUGUGUCUACACUGGUAGUUCUUAUUCCCCAGGUGUAUCUACUCUGACCUGUGAUGACUAAUCUGUUGUGUUUACUCUUACACUGGUUACGCCCGAAUUCACGAGUGUAGGUACAAUGACCUCUGAUGUCAUCCCGUUGUGCAGACUUUUUGGCUUUGACUUAGGUUGUCCUAAUUCCCUAGAGGUGUCUACCCUGAACUUGGAUGACUUUCUAACUCUCCAGUUGUGUCGUCUACUACAUAGAAUGUCUCCCUCAUACCACAGGUGUCUCUACCCUGACCUGGCAGACAUGGAAGCACGUUUCCUAGACUAGUCUACACUGCUGUGAAUGUCUCCCAGCUUCCCCAGAUGUGUCUUCAAUAACCUUUGAUAUCCUCUUAAUUCACCAGCUACGUCUGCGCUGACCUGGGAUCUCUCUCUAAUACCCUAGAUAUUUCUACCCUGACCUGGAAUGUUUUCUUCAUUCACCAAGUAUGUCUGCCCUAAACUUAAAUACUCCUGAAAAUUCCUAGGCAUGUUUUCUCUGAUACCCCCUUGUAGCCCACUUGUGUCCACACUAACACGAACAAAUUCCUAAUUCCCAGAGGUUUCUACUAGGACUUGGGAUGUCACCCUCCUUCCCCAAGUAUGUCUGCUCUGACCUGGCACAUGUCACUAAUUCCUAAGGUGUUGGCUGUCUUGAACCUCAGUGUCUUACUAAUUCCUGAGACGCAUCUAGACUGACUUGGACCGUUUCACUAAUUCCUCAGGGGCUGAACGCUCCCACCACGGCGCACAUGGUUCCCGUGUCUGCGCGUCCUCACCAACACUUCUCCCUUGUCGUCUCGGUGACAGCUGUUCCAGCAGGUGCCAGGUGCACCCACCUUAAUCUCAGCUGUCUAACUGCUGAGGUGUGGCUGUUUACAGCUGGGAUAUCUAAUUAUGCAGACGAGUCUACACCGAAUAAGGACGACUUUCUAAAUCCUCAGGGUAUGCCUAUCCUGACCUGGGGUGUGUUCCUCAUUUUCCAGGUGUAUCUACACUGACCUGUGAUGUCUAGUCCCCUGUCUAACCAGACCUGGACGUUUCCCCAGUUCCCCAGGCAUGUCCACGCUGAUCUGGCGGGACGUCCACCCUGACAUCUCCCUGUCACUCUGGCUGUCUACCAGGGCACCUCUUUACAUCACACAAAGUCUAACGGGACGCGUAGUGAGUGCUUCCUUGGGUAGUUCAACUCUGACAUGGGGUGUCCCCCAAUUCUAACGUGAUGCUUUCGUUCCCCAGGGGGAGCUACCAUGAUCAACGAUGUCACCUCGAUUCCUCAAGUAUUUCUGCAUGGACCCGGGAAGUGUCCCUAACCCCCCAGUUCUGUCUACCCUGAUCAGGGAGACAGGUUCAGGCCGUAAGCACUGAGGCCUCCCUAGUAAGUCAGGCUCUCGUGAAGCAUCAUCUGCUCAGAUCCCAAGAUGAGCCAUUACGAGAGUCUGCUGCUUGAGCGGAAUACCUCUGGUCUGCAGAGAAACAUAGUUUUGCAAAGCGCCAGAUCUCAAGACCUGGGGCUGGGCCGCUCUCCAGGGGCGGGAGGCCGGCCCCCCAGGGAGAGACGGGGUCGGAGAAGGGACCCCGCCGCAGAGCUGACCGCACGAGCAGGCGCAGGUGGCCGUGGUGUCCCCCGGGUGGGCCGAUGCUGGGGAGGCCACACGGGGGUCACUUCUCCCUCGCAGCCGCCGUGCUCAUGAACUAUGAGUACCUCGUAAACCCCUAGGAGUGGGAUCGCUGGGCCACAUGGGUCUUUCCGAGACUCCCCUGUGUUUCCAUGGGGGAUGUUCGUCUCCCGCGCCCACCGGCAACGCGCUCGGCCAUCGGCGUCACAACCUGGGCGUCACGUCCUGGCCGACGCUCGCUGUGCUGCGCUUCUGAUGGUUGCGGGACCUCGCGAUUGUCCUGUGUCCCCUGGUGAGGAGUGAGGGGAGUUCCAGUCGGGCGCUGACCGGCCAUCUGUGCGUCGUCUCUGGAGACAGACUUGGCCCAUUUUUUAAUGGGAUCGUUCCUUUGUCGCUGAGCAGUUUUUACAGAUCCUGGGUGUCAGCCCCUCAUCAGGUGAGGGAGACAUUUUCUCCCAUUCUGUGGGCUGUCUUUAACUCCCCUGAUGGAGCCCUCUGAUGCCCCAAAGUGCUUCCUUUUGUGAAAGUCCAAUUUAUCUGCUUUUCUAGUUGCCUGUGCUUUGGGUGUUAGAGCCAAUAAAUCACCACAAAUGCAACGUCCUGAA
This is a long non-coding RNA of Herpailurus yagouaroundi (jaguarundi), 2610 nucleotides long. RefSeq lists it as uncharacterized. The transcript is spliced from 6 exons. The record is from RefSeq and is a predicted model, not a curated record. Lineage: Eukaryota; Metazoa; Chordata; Mammalia; Carnivora; Felidae.